Molecule: long non-coding RNA, 368 nt
Organism: Camellia sinensis
Lineage: Eukaryota; Viridiplantae; Streptophyta; Magnoliopsida; Ericales; Theaceae
Source: RefSeq, a predicted model, not a curated record
GGGUCUCAAGGAGAUAACGGAUUCUUUAGUGUCGGAAAAUGCCAUUAGGUUUAUAACUGAUGGUACUAUGCAAGAAGGUAUUGAGAGGUUGGAUGACCGGCCCAGGACCUUGAUGAGGACGACUUCGACCAAGUGUUGAUUCAAAUGUUUUGUAAAGACCAUUUUCGGCAUGCCCUUGGUGGAAGAAUCAUCAUGAAUGUUCAAUAAGAAGCAUUGUCGAUCAUAUAUAUAUUUACACUGUUAAUUUUUUUUUUUAUUGUUUCAAACCUAAGUAUGGGGUGAUUGUUUUGUCAGUCGUGAUUCCUUGUCCAUGUACUUGUGUGACUGGUUCUCUUAUAUUGUUCAAGUUUGAUCUACAUGUUGAACAU